RNAcentral lists this unclassified non-coding RNA (1103 nucleotides) under Stegodyphus dumicola. Its description in RNAcentral is "uncharacterized LOC118192822, transcript variant X6". Lineage: Eukaryota; Metazoa; Arthropoda; Arachnida; Araneae; Eresidae. The record is from RNAcentral.
UAAUGCUGAAGUAUUUAAAUUGUUUUCAAUAGCAGCUCCUUCAGAUUAAGAAUAUUGCUAUUAAACAUUAACUUCUUUACAGCUUUGAAUUCAAGCACUUGUAAAAACUGGAAGCAAGAGGACACAGGAGCCUAAUAAAUGUAAAAAUUGCCAAAAAUAGCAAUAACAAUACGAAGUUGGGAAUUUCACUAAAGCGCUAUUUAAAAAACUGACUUAUUAACUUCAUACUUGAUCUAUAUACAUCAUAUUUUUUGCAAGACUAAUCUAGGAGAAUUAAACAGCACAUGGAGUGUUAGGAGGAAGAAAAAGGCUUUGGAAGAUAAGUGGAUGGUUACUGUGUGUCUAAAACAACUGCUGCUACAGCAAUAACUGCUGUGAACUCCUUCAGUAACAGCUGGCUAGAGAAGAGUAUUAUGAAAGUUUGAUCAGAGAACACAUAAUCACAUUUUUACCACUACAUAUAACCGUCAGAUCAUUAAAGAAAUGUGACCUGUAGAAAAAUUACAUAUUGAAUUGCAAGGACUUAUUUUUCAUAGCUCUGCAUUAUAAGAAAACGUUUCUGAUCAGUUCCUUGCAUUUUGAUUUUUUCAUAUGCAAUCUCAUUUAGGAAUUCUAAGGAAAUUGUGAAGGAAGGGACUCGGCUAGGAAGACUAUGAUGAUAUGAACUGUGACUAGAACAAUGUGCAAAGUAUUGUUUCUUGCAUUGGAAACAUAUCCAGUCAUGUUCUCUUAAAAUUCCUGAAUUUAUUUAGUCUAAGGAAUAGUCCAUUUGUGUUGACAAAAGUAAGAACUGGAACAUAUAAAUUUCUCACAACAGUUUAACUUGAUAGAAUAUUUAAAAGGCAGUGGAGGUUGUUAUUCAGCUUCCUUUAUUAGCAGCUCCCUUUGUGCUUCUUACAUCUGUGAAAAAGUUAUCUUUAUAAAUUUGAAUUUCUAUGUGAAAUUAAAUGCUUAAUCUGUUCUUACCACUUAACUGUAAAAGCUUGGAAUGUUAUCAUUUAUCUUCAUGUUUGCAACUAAGUUGGAAAUAAUAUAUACUGUUUAAUGGAAAUACAGUUCUGUCUAGGCAGUUUGAAGAAAACCAUUAAAUCUGCUUCAUUUAA